GAGCUCGCGUCUGAUUAGCUAGUAGGUGUGGUAAGAGCGCACCUACGCGACGAUCAUAGCUGGUCUGAGAGGAUGAUCACCCACACUGGGACUGAAACACGGCCCAGACUCCUACGGGAGGCACCAGGGGGGAAUUUUCCGCAAUGGGCGAAAGCCUGACGGAGCAAUACCGCGUGAGGGAGGAAGGCUCUUGGGUUGUAAACCUCUUUUCUCAAGGAAGAAAAGAUGACGGUACUUGAGGAAUAAGCAUCGGCUAACUCCGUGCCAGCAGCCGCGGUAAUACGGAGGAUGCAAGCGUUAUCCGGAAUGAUUGGGCGUAAAGCGUCCGCAGGUGGCUAUGUAAGUCUGCUGUUAAAGAGUGAGGCUCAACCUCAUAAAAGCAGUGGAAACUACAUAUCUAGAGUGCGUUCGGGGCAAAGGGAAUUCCUGGUGUAGCGGUGAAAUGCGUAAAAAUCAGGAAAAACACCGGUGGCGAAAGCGCUCUGCUAGGCCGCAACUGACACUGAGGGACGAAAGCUAGGGGAGCGAAUGGGAUUAAAUACCCC
RNAcentral lists this ribosomal RNA (545 nucleotides) under Calothrix javanica AUS-JR/MT/NT-094. RNAcentral describes it as "bacterial SSU rRNA". It matches the Rfam family "Bacterial small subunit ribosomal RNA", at positions 227 to 788 of the family's 1533-position model. RNAcentral also lists the same sequence under 2 other names. Lineage: Bacteria; Bacillati; Cyanobacteriota; Cyanophyceae; Nostocales; Calotrichaceae. The record is from RNAcentral.